Molecule: long non-coding RNA, 348 nt
Filed under: Mytilus galloprovincialis (Mediterranean mussel)
Lineage: Eukaryota; Metazoa; Mollusca; Bivalvia; Mytilida; Mytilidae
Source: RNAcentral
GCUUAUAAGAACUAAAGUUCAUAUCAGUGUUGCUGAUUUUUUAUGCAAUUUAUAUUUUUAACCUAUUCAAUUCACUAGUUGGACUUAUCAAGGGGGACAUCUCGUCAUGAUGCUCAUUUUUGAAAUUUGGUUUUAAUCCAUUGCCAGAUUUUAAAAGAAAAGUUAAUGAAAAAAAUAAAAUAAAGUGGUAGCAAAAGCUCAAAUAUUCCUAGCUAUAUGGGCCGAAUUGGCAUAAAAGAAGAGCUACAAGAAAUUCAAGAUUGGACAUAUUUCAAAAUAUUACUGGCCUUGAAAGGCUGUAAUGGUCUUUUCACAUGGAUAUUAAGUUGAUCUAUGCUUGGACUUUUU